Salmo salar (Atlantic salmon) is the source of this 55-nucleotide non-coding RNA. Lineage: Eukaryota; Metazoa; Chordata; Actinopteri; Salmoniformes; Salmonidae. The record is from Rfam.
UGAAUGCACUGACUGUAAGUCGCUCUGGAUAAGAGCGUCUGCUGAAUGACCAAAA